RNAcentral lists this ribosomal RNA (501 nucleotides) under uncultured bacterium. RNAcentral describes it as "partial 16S ribosomal RNA". It matches the Rfam family "Bacterial small subunit ribosomal RNA", at positions 30 to 523 of the family's 1533-position model. The record is from RNAcentral.
AUUGAACGCUGGCGGCAUGCCUUACACAUGCAAGUCGAACGGCAGCACGGGUGCUUGCACCUGGUGGCGAGUGGCGAACGGGUGAGUAAUAUAUCGGAACGUACCUUAUUGUGGGGGAUAACGCAGCGAAAGCUGUGCUAAUACCGCAUAAUCCCUAAGGGGGAAAGCGGGGGACCGUAAGGCCUCGCGCAAUUAGAGCGGCCGAUACCUGAUUAGCUAGUUGGUGAGGUAAAGGCUCACCAAGGCAACGAUCAGUAGCUGGCCUGAGAGGAAGGGCAGCCACACUGGGGCUGAGACACGGCCCAGACUCCUACGGGAGACAGCAGUGGGGAAUUUUGGACAAUGGGGGCAACCCUGAUCCAGCAAUGCCGCGUGAGUGAAGAAGGCCUUCGGGUUGUAAAGCUCUUUUGUCAGGGAAGAAACAGCAGCUCUAACACAGUUUGCGAAUGACGGUACCUGAAGAAUAAGCACCGGCUAACUACGUGCCAGCCGCCGCAGUAA